GUUGCUUGUGAUUAUUGGUAUUGAUUGGUAGUGAUGCUACUAGGUUUGGGAUUAUUGGUGGUUGCAGGUUUGAACCAUGCAUGAUACUUGCUUCGUUGAAUUUGUUGUUCUCAUCACUCAGUGCAUCGCAGAAAGCUCUGUGUGUGAUGAAGCUGUCUCUUCUGCAGAUCAUAAUUAAAUUUAUGCACUCAGUUAUAAUACAAUUAAAUUAACAGAAUUAACAUGAACCCACACUGGAUAUAUAAUCUGAGUGAAAAGAAUAAAGAUAAUAAGAUGAAAAAUAAAAAUUAAAAGUUUUUCAGUGAAUUUAAAAUACCACUCAUUAAAAUGACAUGCUUAGAGAAUGAGAUUUUUUUGGGAAUUUUCAACCUACACUACAAAAACAUCAUUAAAUAAAAAUAAACUUUAAAAAUAAAAAAUAAUUAAUUUUUAUAUUAAUUAAAUUAAAUCUAUUUUAAAAAUUAAAAAAAUUAUUAAUAUUUUAAUUAAAUUUUAUUAUCUAUAAAUAGUUUCUAAAUAGAUAUCUUAAUUAUCAAGAUUUAAACAAUCAGAAUUUAAAUAAUUGAUAAACAUCAAACUAAAAAUUAUUUAUCAAUCAUAAAAAAUAAUUUAAAUACUAAUAAUUUUAUUAAUAUAUAAAAUAAUAACUAAUUUAUUUAAUAUAAGAAAUAAUUAUUUUUAUCAUUAAAAUUAGUUUUUAUAUUAAAAAAAAAGUGAAAAUAACAUUGAAAGCUGAUGUAAACAGCAUAAAAAUGAGAUUGAUUUGUGAAGAAAGAAAAAAAGUAAGGAAUUUUCAAUUAUUUAAUCUAGAACAUUUUAAAAGUAAACAAAAAAAAAAUAAUUAGAAGAUUAAUUUGAACCUGGAAAAGAUGGUGCCGCAGUCACAUUUGUAUUCCUUGGUUCCACAUAUUUUGGAAUGCGCUUUCCAGUCAGAAUGAACAGCGUAUUUCUUUGAACACUUUUCACAUUUCCACUUCUUCUCGCCGUGCUUUCUGCUAAAGUGCUUUUUAAUGCCGGUGAGAUCGCCC
This 1028-nucleotide long non-coding RNA is filed under the name Phaseolus vulgaris (common bean). Its description in RNAcentral is "long non-coding RNA (PVUL_LNC002678)". The record is from RNAcentral. Lineage: Eukaryota; Viridiplantae; Streptophyta; Magnoliopsida; Fabales; Fabaceae.